This 449-nucleotide ribosomal RNA is filed under the name uncultured bacterium. Its description in RNAcentral is "bacterial SSU rRNA". It matches the Rfam family "Bacterial small subunit ribosomal RNA", at positions 330 to 793 of the family's 1533-position model. The record is from RNAcentral.
UCCAGACUCCUACGGGAGGCAGCAGUGGGGAAUAUUGGGCAAUGGGCGAAAGCCUGACCCAGCAACGCCGCGUGAAGGAAGGAGGCUUUCGGGUUGUAAACUUCUUUUGACAGGGAAGAGCAGAAGACGGUACCUGUCGAAUAAGCCACGGCUAACUACGUGCCAGCAGCCGCGGUAAUACGUAGGUGGCAAGCGUUGUCCGGAUUUACUGGGUGUAAAGGGAGCGCAGACGGCAGUGCAAGUCUGGAGUGAAAGCCCGGGGCCCAACCCCGGGACUGCUCUGGAAACUGUACGGCUGGAGUACGGGAGGGGCAGGCGGAAUUCCUAGUGUAGCGGUGAAAUGCGUAGAUAUUAGGAGGAACACCGGCGGCGAAGGCGGCCUGCUGGACCGAAACUGACGUUGAGGCGCGAAAGCGUGGGGAGCAAACGGGAUUAGAUACCCCCGUAAG